GACGAACGCUGGCGGCGUGCUUAACACAUGCAAGUCGAACGGAAAGGCCUCUUUCGGGGGGUACUCGAGUGGCGAACGGGUGAGUAACACGUGAGUAACCUGCCCUUGACUUUGGGAUAACUUCAGGAAACUGGGGCUAAUACCGGAUAGGAGCUCCUGCUGCAUGGUGGGGGUUGGAAAGUUUCGGCGGUUGGGGAUGGACUCGCGGCUUAUCAGCUUGUUGGUGGGGUAGUGGCUUACCAAGGCUUUGACGGGUAGCCGGCCUGAGAGGGUGACCGGCGACAUUGGGACUGAGAUACGGCCCAGACUCCUACGGGGGGCAGCAGUGGGGAAUAUUGCACAAUGGGUGGAAGCCUGAGGUAGCAACGCCGUGGGCGGGAUGACGGCCUUCGGGUUGUAAACCGCUUUCGCUCAUGACGAAGCUUUGUGUGACGGUAGUGGGUAAAGAAGCACCGGCUAACUACGUG
Molecule: ribosomal RNA, 467 nt
Filed under: uncultured bacterium
Lineage: Bacteria
Description: partial 16S ribosomal RNA
Rfam family: Bacterial small subunit ribosomal RNA
Source: RNAcentral